Molecule: long non-coding RNA, 1151 nt
Organism: Melanotaenia boesemani (Boeseman's rainbowfish)
Lineage: Eukaryota; Metazoa; Chordata; Actinopteri; Atheriniformes; Melanotaeniidae
Exons: 4
Source: RefSeq, a predicted model, not a curated record
UUCAUUUUUGUUGAGUUCGACGGAGAGUCAUGGCUGUUUUUAACUUUAAAAUCUGCUCCCAUCCGACUUUAUUUUUAGAAAUGUUUAACUUCCGACGUCGUGAAUGGUAUUUUUAGCUGGUAAGUUGCGUGAAACUGUACGUUUUACGGGUGUUUAUGGGAUGAACACGUGCUGUCAUCGGCCCGCACAGACCUGAAAAGAUGUGACUGCAGAGCUCGUGAGAAGGUGCUCCAUCAGCUGCAGGGAUGCAGGUCAGAGGAGUACCGGUGAUGAAGCAGACGAUGUCCUGGAUCAUCAUGAUCAGAGGGUUUAUGAGGAUCAGCCAGCAGCUCUGCAGUCACGUGGAAAACUGGGUAAUUUUCCCGUCAUCCCUUUCAUGUGCAUCACCUGCAGCCUUCCAGCGGGGCUGAACCUGCAGUGGUUCUGUUCCUUCCUGCCAAGUCUGCCACAGAAACGAGGGGCGGUUUGAGGCCCCGCUGUGGCCCUGACACGGCAGGGUUAUAGGUAAACCUCCACCAAACCCAGGUCUGAGCUCCAGCUCGGUUUCUGAGGCGUCAGGCCACGUUCAUGACGUCACCGUGUCUCUGCAGGACGAGCCCCCUGCAGCUUUCCGGAGGUGGGAUCACCUGGAGCCGGAUCGUCAGGGUCCAGGAGGAGAACCUGACGGGGGGACAAAUUCAGCUUUUCUGCCUAAUUUCUUUUAUUUCUUCCCAGUUUGUUUGUAACUGGUUGGAGCUUUAGUUUUCUGUAAAGCAGCGACCGGUCGUAAAUGUGACGUAGAGAUAAAGCUGCCAGGGUCGGGGAUCUUCCUCCUGCAGCUCCUCCUCCUCGUGUGGAAAUAAUUCUUCAUGUUUUCCAUCUGCAACGAAGGAAUUUCAGGAAUUUUAGUUUUUAAAAGGAGUUUUAUUUUCAUUAGACUUUUUCUGGAGGAAUUAACGAAGCAUCCGUUCUGUGACAAAAUAAAAGCAUUUCUAAUGAAAACUGCUGCAUUUUAUUUUCCUUUUAUGUUGGAAGAUGAUUGACGUUUUUAUAGUAAAACUGGUGCAUUGACUUUUUGAUUUUCUACAUUUCUAUAUGAAUAUAUAAACAUGCAUAGUUCAUGUAUUUGUUGCUACUCAUGUUUGUGUAUUAAAAUGUACAAACCUUAGAAA